Molecule: ribosomal RNA, 602 nt
Filed under: uncultured bacterium
Lineage: Bacteria
Description: bacterial SSU rRNA
Rfam family: Bacterial small subunit ribosomal RNA
Source: RNAcentral
ACUCCUACGGGAGGCAGCAGUAGGGAAUCUUCGGCAAUGGACGAAAGUCUGACCGAGCAACGCCGCGUGAGUGAAGAAGGUUUUCGGAUCGUAAGACUCUGUUGGUAGAGAAGAACGUUGGUGAGAGUGGAAAGCUCAUCAAGUGACGGUAACUACCCAGAAAGGGACGGCUAACUACGUGCCAGCAGCCGCGGUAAUACGUAGGUCCCGAGCGUUGUCCGGAUUUAUUGGGCGUAAAGCGAGCGCAGGUGGUUUAUUAAGUCUGGUGUAAAAGGCAGUGGCUCAACCAUUGUAUGCAUUGGAAACUGGUAGACUUGAGUGCAGGAGAGGAGAGUGGAAUUCCAUGUGUAGCGGUGAAGUGCGUAGAUAUAUGGAGGAACACCGGUGGCGAAAGCGGCUCUCUGGCCUGUAACUGACACUGAGGCUCGAAAGCGUGGGGAGCAAACAGGAUUAGAUACCCUGGUGGUCCACGCCGUAAACGAUGAGUGCUAGAUGUAGGGAGCUAUAAGUUCUCUGUAUCGCAGCUAACGCAAUAAGCACUCCGCCUGGGGAGUACGACCGCAAGGUUGAAACUCAAAGGAAUUGACGGGGGCCCGCACAAG